RNAcentral lists this long non-coding RNA (199 nucleotides) under Prunus persica (peach). RNAcentral describes it as "long non-coding RNA (PPER_LNC006026)". The record is from RNAcentral. Lineage: Eukaryota; Viridiplantae; Streptophyta; Magnoliopsida; Rosales; Rosaceae.
GAAAAGUAAAUGAAACAAAACAAAGUAUAUAUGUGAUUUAAGUGAUAUAAUCCUAAACCUAAACUCUUAUUUAUACGUAAUUAUAUAUGUAUGCGGGCCUAGCGGGCUGGGCUUAAUCGGGCUGGGCUUCAGACACCCAAGCCCAAGCCUAGCCCUGUCCAAGGCGGGCCAGCCCAUCUCAAAGUCCAUAACGGGCCGG